RNAcentral lists this ribosomal RNA (834 nucleotides) under Triticum aestivum (bread wheat). Its description in RNAcentral is "partial small subunit ribosomal RNA". The record is from RNAcentral. Lineage: Eukaryota; Viridiplantae; Streptophyta; Magnoliopsida; Poales; Poaceae.
AUGUUUCGGGCGGCUUCCCAGGCCAGGAUCCUCAAGCCCAUCAGGGCGCGAACGGCCUCCUGCAGGGUUUCUCUCUAUGCAGACGAUGCGGGCAUCUUCGCUAACCCGGUCAAAGAAGAGAUCGACGCCAUCACUAGGAUCCUGGCCUGUUUUGGGGAUGCAUCGGGCCUCGUCACAAAUGUCAGCAAGACCGAGGUGUUCCCCAUUCGCUGUCAGGACAUCGAUCUCCCGGCAAUCCUCUCAGCCUUCCCGGCCAAGCUGUCCUCGUUCCCCGGCCGAUACCUAGGUCUCCCACUACAUACCAGGCGGCUCAGAAGGGUUGACCUCCAACCUCUUCUAGACAAGGCAAUGGGCCGGUUGCCGGGAUGGAAGGGGAAGAACCUGGCGCGACCGGGCAGGGUCUCCCUUGCAAAGUCCGUAUUGUGCGCCAUCGCAAAUCAUCACCUCACUGCGCUCUCGCUUCCCACUUGGGCAAUCCAGAAGCUUAGUAAGAUCACUCGUAACUUCAUCUGGUGUGGGGAAGACUCGGAAAACACGUCUGGCGGACAUUCUCUGGUCAACUGGAAUACUGUCUGCCGGCCUAAGCCCAUGGGGGGCCUGGGAAUCACUGACCUCGAGAGAUUUGGUCGGGCGCUCCGUCUGCGCUGGCCUUGGCUUAUGUGGACUGAUCCUGGCCGCCAAUGGGUGGGCUCUGCGGUGCCCUGCGAUGAGACGGAUAUGGCGCUCUUCAGGGCUUCUACCACCAUCUCCUUGGGCAAUGGGAGAAAAUCCUUAUUCUGGCACGACGACUGGACAGGACGGGGCCCCCUGUCCCGGGCCUUCCCGGAGCUGUAC